GCAGCAGGCGCGAAAACUUUACAAUGCUGGAAACAGCGAUAAGGGGACCUCGAGUGCCAGGUUACAAAUCUGGCUGUCGUGAUGCCUAAAAAGCAUUGCAUAGCAAGGGCCGGGCAAGACCGGUGCCAGCCGCCGCGGUAACACCGGCGGCUCGAGUGGUAACCGUUAUUAUUGGGUCUAAAGGGUCUGUAGCCGGCCGGAUAAGUCUCUUGGGAAAUCCAGCAGCUCAACUGUUGGGCUUUCAGGAGAUACUGUCUGGCUCGAGGCCGGGAGAGGUGAGAGGUACUUCAGGGGUAGGGGUGAAAUCUUGUAAUCCUUGAAGGACCACCAGUGGCGAAGGCGUCUCACCAGAACGGACCUGACGGCAAGGGACGAAAGCUAGGGGCACGAACCGGAUUAGAUACCCGGGUAGUCCUAGCCGUAAACGAUACUCGCUAGGUGUCGGCCACGGUGCGACCGUUGUCGGUGCCGUAGGGAAGCCGUGAAGCGAGCCACCUGGGAAGUACGGCCGCAAGGCUGAAACUUAAAGGAAUUGGCGGGGGAGCAC
This 547-nucleotide ribosomal RNA is filed under the name uncultured archaeon. RNAcentral's name for it is "bacterial SSU rRNA". It matches the Rfam family "Archaeal small subunit ribosomal RNA", at positions 332 to 879 of the family's 1478-position model. The record is from RNAcentral.